Molecule: ribosomal RNA, 190 nt
Filed under: Chlamydomonas reinhardtii
Lineage: Eukaryota; Viridiplantae; Chlorophyta; Chlorophyceae; Chlamydomonadales; Chlamydomonadaceae
Description: large subunit ribosomal RNA
Source: RNAcentral
AAGGAGUGCCACCGGCACCCGCUUUUUAUGCUCGUAGAGCAUCAAAAGGUAAGGUAGAGUCUGCACAGAACACCAGAAAAUAGGCCCGGAAGCAGCCACUGUGCUUGGAAAGCGUAAUAGCUCACUGGUCUAGCAGUACUCCGCUUAUAUAUGUCCGGCACUCCAAAUUGCCGAAGCCCGCCUAUGACAA